GAGCAUAGCUCAGUUGGUUCAGAGCAUCUGCCUUACAAGCAGAGGGUCAUAGGUUCGAAUCCUAUUGCUCCC
This 72-nucleotide transfer RNA is filed under the name chicken gut metagenome. It matches the Rfam family "tRNA". From Rfam's summary of the family: Transfer RNA (tRNA) molecules are approximately 80 nucleotides in length. Their secondary structure includes four short double-helical elements and three loops (D, anti-codon, and T loops). The record is from RNAcentral.